Long non-coding RNA from Haliotis rubra (blacklip abalone), 1048 nucleotides. RefSeq lists it as uncharacterized. The record is from RefSeq and is a predicted model, not a curated record. The transcript has 3 exons. Lineage: Eukaryota; Metazoa; Mollusca; Gastropoda; Lepetellida; Haliotidae.
AUGUCUUGCAUCCACGUCACUAAAAUAUGAAAUUCCCUACAGGCACUGGCUGUAGAUAAGUACAGGUGAAAUGUCUUGCAUCCACGUCACUAAAAUAUGAAAUUCCCUACAGGCACUGGCUGUAGAUAAGUACAGGUGAAAUGUCUUGCAUCCACGUCACUAAAAUAUGAAAUUCCCUACAGGCACUGGCUGUAGAUAAGUACAGGUGAAAUGUCUUGCAUCCACGUCACUAAAAUAUGAAAUUCCCUACAGGCACUGGCUGUAGAUAAGUACAGGUGAAAUGUCUUGCAUUGCUGGGAGAGUCCAUGAAUAUCCUGAUGAAUAUCCUGUUUUGCUGUAUGGAGGUACUUGACAGUAUGACACAUGGAGGUACUUGACAGUAUGACAGGUGGGAGUAUGGAGGUACUUGACAGUAUGACAGGUGGGAGUAUGGAGGUACUUGACAGUAUGCAGUAUGACAGGUGGGAGUAUGACACAGGUGGGAGUAUGGAGGUACUUGACAGUAUGCCACAGGUGGGAGUAUGGAGGUACUUGACAGUAUGCCACAGGUGGGAGUAUGGAGGUACUUGACAGUAUGCCACAGGUGGGAGUAUGGAGGUACUUGACAGUAUGACAGGUGGGAGUAUGGAGGUACUUGACAGUAUGACAGGUGGGAGUAUGGAGGUACUUGACAGUAUGACACAGGUGGGAGUAUGGAGGUACUUGACAGUAUGCCACAGGUGGGAGUAUGGAGGUACUUGACAGUAUGCCACAGGUGGGAGUAUGGAGGUACUUGACAGUAUGACACAGGAUGGAGUAUGGAGGUACUUGUCAGUAUGGUAUGGUAUAUUUAUCAUCCAGGUGUAGUGGUAUGGUAUAAUUGUCUUCCGGGUGUAGUGGUAUGGUAUAAUUGUCAUCCAGGUGUAGUGGUAUGGUAUAAUUGUCAUCCGGGUGUAGUGGUAUGGUAUAAUUGUCAUCCGGGUGUAGUGGUACUGGUAUAAUUGUGAACCAGGUGUAGUGGUACUGGUAUAAUUGUCAUCAGGGUGUAGUGGUACUGGUAUAAUUGUCU